Molecule: small nuclear RNA, 107 nt
Organism: Antechinus flavipes (yellow-footed antechinus)
Lineage: Eukaryota; Metazoa; Chordata; Mammalia; Dasyuromorphia; Dasyuridae
Source: RefSeq, a predicted model, not a curated record
GUGCUUGCUUCAGCAGCACACAUACUAAAAUUGGGACAAUACAGAAAAGAUUAGCAUGGCUCCUGCAUAAGGAUGACAUGCAAAUCAGUGAAGCAUUCCUUAUUUUU